UACGGAGGGUGCAAGCGUUGUCCGGAAUCACUGGGCGUAAAGGGUGCGUAGGCGGGUCUUUAAGUCAGGGGUGAAAUCCUGGAGCUCAACUCCAGAACUGCCUUUGAUACUGAGGAUCUUGAGUUCGGGAGAGGUGAGUGGAACUGCGAGUGUAGAGGUGAAAUUCGUAGAUAUUCGCAAGAACACCAGUGGCGAAGGCGGCUCACUGGACGACUGUUGACGCUGAGGUGCGAAAGCGUGGGGAGCAAACAGG
This 253-nucleotide ribosomal RNA is filed under the name uncultured bacterium. Its description in RNAcentral is "partial 16S ribosomal RNA". It matches the Rfam family "Bacterial small subunit ribosomal RNA", at positions 524 to 776 of the family's 1533-position model. The record is from RNAcentral.